Molecule: ribosomal RNA, 544 nt
Filed under: Afroptera koranna
Lineage: Eukaryota; Metazoa; Arthropoda; Insecta; Neuroptera; Nemopteridae
Description: partial large subunit ribosomal RNA
Source: RNAcentral
AGGGAAAGUUGAAAAGAACUUUGAAGAGAGAGUUCAAGAGUACGUAAAACCGUUCAGGGGUAAACCUGAGAAACCCAAAUGGUCGAAUAGAGGACGAGAUUCAUUUACUUUUUAUCGUAUAUUAACCAACUUGUACGUUAUAUGUGACAAUAAUGCAAGUUCAUUUUUUCCUCUCAUAUCAUUUUUAUAUUUUAUUAUUUUUUUGUAAUAUGUAUAAUUCAAUUGGUAUGUUGCAUGGAUGAAAUGAAUAAAUUGCACAUUUGUAUGUUGCAGUAUAAUAACGAGGUAUGCACUUCUCGUUCUAUAUAGGACGUCGCGACUCAUUAAAUAUUGAUCUAUAGAAUGUUUUUGUGCAUUGACUGUUAUAUGAAAUGGUUUUCGGAUUAUUUUAUCUAUAUAAUAGAUGCCUACGUUGCUUGAUUAAUUGUUUGAUGGUAUUAAAUAGACAAUUUUAAUGGCCAAGUGUAAUAUUUUUAUAAUAUUACACGUUCAUUUACCAUAGACGAGUUCAAAAUGGGCUACGAUAAAAUUUCCAACCUUAACG